UCUGCAACUCUUCAUUCUUGUC
This 22-nucleotide microRNA is filed under the name Haemonchus contortus (barber pole worm). RNAcentral's name for it is "hco-miR-5909". The record is from miRBase by way of RNAcentral. Lineage: Eukaryota; Metazoa; Nematoda; Chromadorea; Rhabditida; Trichostrongylidae.